RNAcentral lists this ribosomal RNA (621 nucleotides) under uncultured fungus. RNAcentral describes it as "eukaryotic LSU rRNA". The stretch from base 189 to 341 matches the Rfam family "5.8S ribosomal RNA". Lineage: Eukaryota; Fungi. The record is from RNAcentral.
UCCGUAGGUGAACCUGCGGAAGGAUCAUUAUCGUGCCAAAGGCCACCGUCCCUCGGGGUGGUUGGCCUUUGUUACCCUUAUUCUCUGUCUUUGCGCACCACGUUUGUUUCCUUGGCAGGCUUGCCUGCCAUUGAGAACCCCUCAAACCCUUUGCAGUUGCAAUCAACGUCUGAUAAAUCAAUAGUUACAACUUUUAACAAUGGAUCUCUUGGUUCUGGCAUCGAUGAAGAACGCAGCGAAAUGCGAUAAGUAGUGUGAAUUGCAGAAUUCAGUGAAUCAUCGAAUCUUUGAACGCACUUGCGCUCCUUGGUAUUCCUCGGAGCAUGCCUGUUUGAGUAUCAUGAAAUUAUCAAAAUAAAUCUUUUGUUCAUUCGAUUGAUUUUAUUUUGGACUUGGGGGUCUGCAGAUUCACGUCUGCUCCUCUUAAAUUCAUUAGCUGGAUCUCGAUAGACUCGGUUCCACUCGGCGUGAUAAGUAUCACUCGCUGAGGACACUUUGUAAAAAAGGGUGGCCGGGAUUGUCUGUGAACCGCUUCUAAUAGUCCAUUGACUUGGGGACAACAAUAAAUUUAUGGAUCUGGAUCUCAAAUCAGGGUAGGGACUACCCGGCUGGAACUUAAGG